RNAcentral lists this long non-coding RNA (207 nucleotides) under Mytilus galloprovincialis (Mediterranean mussel). Lineage: Eukaryota; Metazoa; Mollusca; Bivalvia; Mytilida; Mytilidae. The record is from RNAcentral.
UUCAACCUUAAGACUGACAUUGUAAAGGAGGCUUAUUUAUCAAAGAUUUUAGUAUAAGAAGAGCUAUAUGUAAAAUGAGAAUAAGUGCUCAUGAUCUUAUAUAUAGAAUUGAGAAAGAUAUAUAGAUAUAGUAAAAAAUACAUAGAGAGAAAUCAACGUCUAUGUCAUCACUGCUUAUCACAUGGAUCAAAUUCUAUUGAAGAUGAG